GGUUUUCAAUAAAGCAGACCAUAUAUAUAUAUCACUGGAAGGAAAAGCAAAUUUACUUCUAGAAAGCACAACCUGUGUUUAGAUAUAUUUCCUUAGUGUGUCCUAUUUAUUUGACUUACAGAACCUCUCUCCAUAUAUCCUGGACAAAUUUCAGGAACUCUAUGUAAACGGACAUACUUAUAGGGCUUACUUCUUUCUUUCUCACAGCCUAGAACUUGACAUAAGAGUUCAAGGGGAUUCUUGAUAUAUGCACUGCUUUUAAGGUGCCCGGAAAAUCCAGAGCCCCUCUGUACUCGUGAGAUCUUGCACCGUAAAUUAUUUCCCAAAAAACUGUCUGAUGACAAGAAAUGACCAAUUCCUCGAUUCUCCGGUAAAAUGCACAUAGUCUGAUGGAAACUUUCUUUACAGUGUUAUCUUUCCUUUUGACCUUCAUGGGAAUGAAGAUUCUGAAAGAUGGUGGUGCAGAGCGGAGAUGAGAGCUCAGUGUACUGGGUUGCUAUGGGUGAUGACGAGGAAAGAUUCUCUGAAAGUGAAAAUGAAGUUUGCAUCAACACUAAAUAACCCCUCUAAACAUCUGAGGCUGAAUGGGGUAAGAAGAGGAAUACAUUCCAUUCUUAUUAAAAAACAUCAAGUGAUUGUUUUCUGUAUCAAAUGCGGAAUUCCGGUUUUAUCAAACACGUCUCGGAGAAACACCCCAGCCUCCAAAGCAGACAGCAGUUGUAAACAUCUCCUCUUCCUGCUGAGAAGCUGCGGAAUUCCAGAGCCCUGACCUGCGAAAUACCAGUUCUCUGCUCCCUCCCCAUGGAACGGAAGCUAAGCCCUGAGGGAGGGCAUUUGUGUGUUUAGACCCUCUGCGUGAUGCCUAGUGCUGGACCAGGAGGGAGCUCAACCCACAAACCGCUAGCAAAGGGGAUGGAAAAAGACAGGACCCAGCAGAGGGGAACACAAUUGCUCACUAGCCCAGAAUCUGGAACUUGGAAGCCAAAUUAUGGUUAGCCACAUGGCUUUAUUAUUGACCUUCUUUGGCACGUAGUGCUUUAUGGGUACACUGUAUCUUCGCUUUUUCUGACCAGUCUCCAACUUCCCACCAACACUGCUUAUACCAAAAGAUGGCAAAUGGCACGUAUCCUGGCAUUUUUCUAUGGCUUAAGGCACAGUCAAGACUCUUGAUGAUGUAAAAGAAAAACAGAUGACUGCGUCUAUUUCCUGCCUGAUUACUACUACUUUAAAGGAAUGCCGAGGUUUUGUUUGUAAAAAUACACUGAUGAUUAUGUAACCAGUGAGACCUACAUUUAUUUCUACCUUAUUUUGUUUAGGGCAGGCUCAAUUAAACUUCACGGCCCUCAUAUAAUCUUCUUUAAUCUUUGUGGUUUAUUGGACAAUCUGGUGAACUUGUAUCACAUCCUGAGGUUGGGUGUGCAUUUCAAGGCAUCAGGGAAUGAUGAGUUCAGUUGUGAGGUGAAGGAGGCCAUAUGGGAUAGGUUUUCCAUCUUAAAUUAGCAUACAUCAGAGGCCUGGUGGGGGGGGGGGGGGAGUCCAUGGCAUCAGGUGACCAGAAUGAGGGGCCAUAGCAGUCUGUGACUCACGUGACAGCUGGGGAGGAAAUGGAACACUUUUCCCAAAUCCAACUGAGAUUGUUAAUGCCCAGACUGGGAAAGAGUGGUGCCACCUUUCUGUAGCAACAAGCCGGGCAAACCAGGGGUUUCUGGAGAAGCUUCUGUUUGCAUGGCUAAAUAAUAAAAGGUGGUCUUGAUAGGUCUACUCUUAAAUUGUGCGAUGGACCAUUAUCAGAGCUCUGCUAGCUGAUCAGACAUUUGACCCACUAAAAUGUAGUCUUGGGGUUUAUUUUGAUCAGGUCCGUGGGCAUAGGGGUGUGGGACAAAAGAAUUUGUCAGUCAAUUCUUCUGCAAUAUGCAUUCAUUUCUCCUCUUAACAUCAGCAGAAGCUAUUAUUAGGGAUUGAAUGUGCUUCACCCCCAUGUUGAAGCCCUAUUUCCCAAUGUGAUGGUAUUUGGAUGUAGGGCCUUUAGGAGGUCACCCGAUUUAGGUGGGGUCAUGAGGGUGGGGCCCCCGAGAUGGGAUUAGUGCCCUUGUGAGAGGAAGAGCCCAGAGCUUGCCCUCUACCAUAUGAGGACACAGUGAGAAGGCAAUCACCCAUAAGCCAGAAAGAGAGCUCUCACCACACCGAAUCUCCUAGAAUGGUGAUCUUGGACUUCUCAGCUUCCAGAAUUAUGAGAAAUAAAUGUCUAUUGUUUAAGCUGUCCAAUCUAUGGUGUUUUGUGGUAGCAGCCCAUGCUAAGACAAGCUCUUUGUAUUCGUUGAAUAGAAAACUGCUCAUACUCAACUCUAAAUGUACCAACCUCUCUUCUCCAUAUUUACUUAAUAUUUCCAGUAUUUAAUUAGUAUCUUGUAGUGUAUAAAGUUGGCCUUUGAACAUCAUGGGUUUGAACCACAUGAGUCCACUUGUGAAUUUUUUCUGAUAAAUACAGUUCCAUACUAUAAAUGUAUUUUAUGUUUUUCUUAACAGCACUUUCUUUUCUCUAGCUUGCUUGAUUAUAAGAAUACAGUAUAUAGUACAUAUAGUGUAUGAAAUAUAUGUCAAUUGACUGUUUAUGUUAUUGAUAAGGCUUCCGGUCAACAGCAGGCUAUUAGUAGUUAAGGUUUGGGGGAGUCAAAAGUUAUGCUUUUCAACCAACGGGGGGUAGUCAGUACCCCUAAACUUUACACUGUUCAGAGGUCAACUGUAUUCUUUUAUUUGUCCCAAUAUCCUUUUCCACCCCACUGCCCACCUUUUUCACUUUUACAUCAUUGCCUUACUAAAUGCUACUCCACGUAUGUCAAGACUCAACUCAAGUGUCCCCUCUUCCAUGGAGCCGUCCCUGCCCUCCUCUCCUUCACCCCCAGUCUGGAUUCUAUGCACUGCCUAUGGUAGCUCCUGCCAAAGCCUCUAUAUUUUUGCUUUUUACUUUUUACUCAGUCCCUCACUAGACUGAAUUUCUCAUCAAAGGCAAGGGUGUGUGCUGAGUUCAACAGCGAACCUGGAGUGGAAGCCGUAGGCACUUUAUUGAGUGAAAUAUGUUUUUCAGAGAAUCCUUCUGAAUAGAGAUCUUAACUUGUCAGUGUAAAGUAGUGUUUGCAGGGAAGGAUGGGGGAAGACAUGCUGGCAAACACUAGGGAGCAGCCGGGGGUUUAGUGUGGACUUGCAAAUCAGAACAGGACCCCCAAACCCUGCUGGAACUGUUGAAGACAAACACAGGAAAGUAACAGAAGGGUUUGGAAUGGAACCGGGUUGUAGAAACUUAGAAUUCAGGGUCUCAGGAGGAGAGGAAGUUCCAUGUGAAAGGUCAGAGACUGUAGAAUUUUGUUCGUUUGAAUGGCAACUCUGUUUUGGGUUGAAUUGUGUCCUCUCAAAAGAUGUUGACAUUCUAA
This 3428-nucleotide long non-coding RNA is filed under the name Canis lupus familiaris (dog). RNAcentral describes it as "lncRNA (ENSCAFG00845020833.1)". Lineage: Eukaryota; Metazoa; Chordata; Mammalia; Carnivora; Canidae. The record is from RNAcentral.